This is a long non-coding RNA of Leopardus geoffroyi (Geoffroy's cat), 1998 nucleotides long. RefSeq lists it as uncharacterized. The record is from RefSeq and is a predicted model, not a curated record. The transcript has 3 exons. NCBI's taxonomy places the organism in Eukaryota, Metazoa, Chordata, Mammalia, Carnivora, Felidae.
AAGUCCCUGCCCUGCUCUGCCGAGGAAGCCUUCCUGGGCCUGUCACUGUUUACAGACUCUCAGAAAGGCAGGUGUUGGGAGGAAGCUGCCGCUUGCGGUCGGUUCUCCCCAGAUACAGGAGCGCCCGGCCCCCCCUAGGCCGGCUGCCAUUGGCUAACAGGAGGCCAAAACAGACUCCUCUCCCGCCUGCAGCCACCCAGCCAGCAAACAAAGAGCGCACAGGAAACACCUGGAGGAGAGGGCAGCUGGCAAGGGGACCUCCGCAGGAAAGAAGAAAGGGUUUGCAGGAGGAAUUAGGCUGCUCUGCAAAGAAGUGGUGCAGAGAAAAAGCCAGAACUCUCCAGAACUCACCAGGCUUGCCCUUCCCAGCUUCCCCGUUUCUCUCUCUUCCUGGAAGGGAGAACGUGAUUCCGCAUGAUUCCACAGGUGGGCAGGAAGGAGCCCCCUGCUAUAGGUCUUCUGAGUGUAACUGAAGAGAAAUACCAUGAGACACCAAGAAAGGAUUUGCAUCUGAAGAAAACGCUUAGUGAGUUGAAGAUGUUGGCUUCUCUACACCACACGGCUUCAUCUGCUACAUUUUUAUUAAAGUAACCAAAAAAAGAAAAAAAAAGAAAAAGAAAAAAGAAGCUGGUACAUUUGUCCAUAAAGCUGUACAUCCUUCCAUAUAAAAACACUAUUAUACAAUUAGUAACCUUUGUCUUUUCUGUCAGAAUAGCUUACCAACCUGCUACUAUUAUUUCUUUUUACUUAAUAGGAGAGACAGGCCUGCUCAACAGUCCAGCUCUGGGUGUUUUGCUGUUUUUUAAAGUGAACAUUAAAAAAAAAAAAAUAAGAAAGAAAGAGAGAGAGAGAGAGAGAGAGAGAAGAGAGAAAAGAUUAAGCAGGAGACCAUGAGGCUGCUUCUUUUUUAAAAAGGCAGGGAUCUGUUUGCAGACAGGAUGCAACAAUGCCACGUCCAGUGAUUCACAGCUUUGUCUCAACCCACAGGCCAGAAAAUGAGCUUUUGGGUCUGUGGGUCUGAAGUUAGCUUUAAAGCAAUAAAGGCUGGAAGCAGGGUCUGGGAAGGCAGCUUGGAGUCUAGAGUUGAAAAGGAGGCAGGACUGGCAGGACUGGGUAGGGACAGUGUUUGGUAAAUAGCACCUUUGAAUCAGAAGUGGGUGGUUAAGAAAUUCAGGGAAGGGGACUGGCUGUGGAGUGGGGGACCCUCGGGCAGGGAAGAAAGUUUCCUCACUAAGGGGCGACAGCCUGGUGGGCUGGACAGGAGGGUAGCCAGGUAGACUGGACGCUCUAGCUGCGUCCUUCUAAAGUGAUUUUGAGUUUGGGAAACUCAGGGCCUCCGCAGGACCCCCUCACUAAGGUCACUGAAAAACCGAAGGAAGGCGAUUUCUUCCCAGUAUAGAUUUCCACUGGCUCCGACCCAGCACGGUAAAUAUUGCACAAGUCUACAGACAAAUCUGGGUUGUACUGAGAGACAGCAACUUCCCCACAGGUGCUCUGAGCACCAGGGAGAAAAUAAUGCCCAGGAUUUUGGCUUUUAGUGUCAGCCCUACAAGAAUACCAAGUAGUCCUGCAGAACUCGGGGAGUUCUCCCAUUCAGCCAAGGAAUACCUGCGAGGCCGACCAGCCAGCCAGAGUCCCGAGGAUGGAGGGAUAGUUCCCGAAGCCCUCCAGGGCACCAGGAGGUUCUGAGAGCUGGGUCUCCUUCAGACUCUCCUGGGACCCAGGAGGCCAUAUUGCACAAUGAGUCGAGAGCUCUUGUUCUGGAAAACUGGGUAGCUCCAUGACCCAACCAGAAGGGGAGAAGAACGGGAGAGUCAGGGAGGAGUGUUGUGCUUUUAAAAAGAAGGCAGUAGUAAAGAACCUAGAGUUCCCUGUAGCUUUUGAGCCAACUCUUGAAGGGAUAGUGGCAGCAGCAGCAGCAUCAGGACGUUCCUGUGAUUCCAGAAAGAAGGGCUUUGGCCAAAAAACCCCAAAAAACAAACAAACAAAAACAAAACA